Molecule: ribosomal RNA, 453 nt
Filed under: Rattus sp. LMB-2011
Lineage: Eukaryota; Metazoa; Chordata; Mammalia; Rodentia; Muridae
Description: partial 16S ribosomal RNA
Rfam family: Bacterial large subunit ribosomal RNA
Source: RNAcentral
CGGCCGCGGUAUCCUGACCGUGCAAAGGUAGCAUAAUCACUUGUUCCUUAAUUAGGGACUAGAAUGAAUGGCUAAACGAGGGUUCAACUGUCUCUUACUUUCAANUCAGUGAAAUUGACCUUCCAGUGAAGAGGCUGGAAUGUCACAAUAAGACGAGAAGACCCUGUGGAGCUUCAAUUUACUAGCCUAACUUAUUCAUAACAACCUAAUGGACUAGCACAAAAUAAGUAUAGGCUAAAAAAUUUCGGUUGGGGUGACCUCGGAGUAUAAAAAAUCCUCCGAACGAUUUUAACCUAGACUCACAAGUUAAAGUAACACUAAUAUCCAAUUGACCCAAUUAUUGAUCAACGGACCAAGUUACCCCAGGGAUAACAGCGCAAUCCUAUUUAAGAGUUCAUAUCGACAAUUAGGGUUUACGACCUCGAUGUUGGAUCAGGACAUCCCAAUGGUGCA